AUACGAAGGGGGCUAGCGUUGUUCGGAUUUACUGGGCGUAAAGAGAUCGUAGGUGGUUUAUUAAGUCGGAUGUGAAAUCCCGGGGCUCAACCCCGGAACUGCAUUCGAUACUGGUAGACUAGAGUUUGGGAGGGGUAAGCGGAAUUCCGUGUGUAGCAGUGAAAUGCGUAGAUAUACGGAGGAACACCUGAGGCGAAGGCGGCUUACUGGACCAAUACUGACACUGAGGAUCGAAAGCGUGGGUAGCAAACAGGAUUAGAUACCCUAGUAGUCC
This 274-nucleotide ribosomal RNA is filed under the name uncultured bacterium. Its description in RNAcentral is "partial 16S ribosomal RNA". It matches the Rfam family "Bacterial small subunit ribosomal RNA", at positions 523 to 796 of the family's 1533-position model. The record is from RNAcentral.